ACGAACGCUGGCGGCGGGCCUAACACAUGCAAGUCGAACGCACUCGACCUUCGGGAAGCUAGUAAAGUGGCGCAAGGGUGAGUAACACGUGAAUAAUCUGCCCUCGAGAUCGGGAUAACCUGAGGAAACUUAGGCUAAUACCGGAUAAGACCACAUUUCAUAUGGAAUGUGGGAAAAGGAGUCUCAAUCUUCACUCGAGGAUGAGUUCGCGGACCAUUAGCUUGUUGGUGAGAUAAAAGCUCACCAAGGCAACGAUGGUUAGCCGGCCUGAGAGGGCGAUCGGCCACACUGGAACUGAGACACGGUCCAGACUCCUACGGGAGGCAGCAGUGGGGAAUCUUAGACAAUGGGGGCAACCCUGAUCUAGCCAUGCCGCGUGAGUGACG
Molecule: ribosomal RNA, 386 nt
Filed under: uncultured Nitrospina sp.
Lineage: Bacteria; Pseudomonadati; Nitrospinota; Nitrospinia; Nitrospinales; Nitrospinaceae
Description: bacterial SSU rRNA
Rfam family: Bacterial small subunit ribosomal RNA
Source: RNAcentral